This 254-nucleotide ribosomal RNA is filed under the name uncultured bacterium. Its description in RNAcentral is "partial 16S ribosomal RNA". It matches the Rfam family "Bacterial small subunit ribosomal RNA", at positions 524 to 776 of the family's 1533-position model. The record is from RNAcentral.
UACGUAGGGAGCAAGCGUUGUCCGGAAUCAUUGGGCGUAAAGAGCGCGUAGGCGGUCCGGUAAGUCGGUUGUGAAAACUGGGGGGCUCAACCCUCAGAGGCCGACCGAUACUGCCGGGCUAGAGUCCGGAAGAGGCGAGUGGAAUUCCUGGUGUAGCGGUGAAAUGCGCAGAUAUCAGGAGGAACACCAAUGGCGAAGGCAGCUCGCUGGGACGGUACUGACGCUGAGGCGCGAAAGCGUGGGGAGCAAACAGG